Molecule: ribosomal RNA, 485 nt
Filed under: uncultured Acidobacteriota bacterium
Lineage: Bacteria; Pseudomonadati; Acidobacteriota
Description: bacterial SSU rRNA
Rfam family: Bacterial small subunit ribosomal RNA
Source: RNAcentral
UGGGGAAUUGUUCGCAAUGGGCGCAAGCCUGACGACGCAACGCCGCGUGGAGGAUGAAGGUCUUCGGAUUGUAAACUCCUGUUGAUCGGGACGAAAAGCUUCGACCUAACACGUCGAAGACUGACGGUACCGGUUGAGGAAGCCACGGCUAACUCUGUGCCAGCAGCCGCGGUAAUACAGAGGUGGCAAGCGUUGUUCGGAAUUACUGGGCGUAAAGGGCGCGUAGGCGGCCUUCUAAGUCGGACGUGAAAGCCCCAGGCUUAACCUGGGAACUGCGUCCGAUACUGGGAGGCUUGGAUUCGGGAGAGGGAUGUGGAAUUCCAGGUGUAGCGGUGAAAUGCGUAGAUAUCUGGAGGAACACCGGUGGCGAAGGCGGCAUCCUGGACCGAGAUCGACGCUGAGGCGCGAAAGCUAGGGGAGCAAACGGGAUUAGAUACCCCGGUAGUCCUAGCUGUAAACGAUGAGCGCUGGGUGUAGGGGGUAUC